GACGAACGCUGGCGGCGUGCUUAACACAUGCAAGUCGAGCGGUAAGGCCCUUUCGGGGGUACACGAGCGGCGAACGGGUGAGUAACACGUGGGUGACCUGCCCUCAGCUCUGGGAUAAGCCCGGGAAACUGGGUCUAGUACUGGAUAUGACUCCAUGACGCAUGUUGUGGGGUGGAAAGCCUUGUGCGGCUGAGGAUGGGCCCGCGGCCUAUCAGCUUGUUGGU
Molecule: ribosomal RNA, 224 nt
Filed under: uncultured bacterium
Lineage: Bacteria
Description: partial 16S ribosomal RNA
Rfam family: Bacterial small subunit ribosomal RNA
Source: RNAcentral